UACGUAGGGGGCAAGCGUUGUUCGGAAUUACUGGGCGUAAAGCGCACGUAGGUGGCUUUGCAAGUCGAUUGUGAAAUCCCCGGGCUUAACCUGGGAACUGCGUUUGAAACUACAAGGCUAGAGUGUGGCAGAGGGGGGUGGAAUUCCACGUGUAGCAGUGAAAUGCGUAGAGAUGUGGAGGAACACCGAUGGCGAAGGCAGCCCCCUGGGUUAACA
This 216-nucleotide ribosomal RNA is filed under the name uncultured prokaryote. RNAcentral describes it as "partial 16S ribosomal RNA". It matches the Rfam family "Bacterial small subunit ribosomal RNA", at positions 524 to 739 of the family's 1533-position model. The record is from RNAcentral.